This 288-nucleotide small RNA is filed under the name Nomascus leucogenys (northern white-cheeked gibbon). RNAcentral's name for it is "Metazoan signal recognition particle RNA (ENSNLEG00000021098.2)". The stretch from base 53 to 278 matches the Rfam family "Metazoan signal recognition particle RNA", at positions 55 to 288 of the family's 299-position model. Rfam says of the family: The signal recognition particle (SRP) is a universally conserved ribonucleoprotein. It is involved in the co-translational targeting of proteins to membranes. The record is from RNAcentral. Lineage: Eukaryota; Metazoa; Chordata; Mammalia; Primates; Hylobatidae.
GCCUGGGCAACAUUCGUCUCAAAAAAAAAGAAAAGAAUAUAGGCCUGUAGAAGGAUUGCUUGAGCCCAGGAGUUCUGUAGUGUGUCAUACCAAUAGGGUAUCUGCACUAAUUUGGCAUCAAUAUGGUGACCUCCUGGGAGCAGGGGACCACCAGGUUGCCUAAGGAGUGAUGAACAACCCAGGUCAGAAACACAGCAGGUCAAAGCUACUCUACUGAUCAGUAGUGGGCUCACAACUGUGACUAGCCACUGCCCUCCAGCCUGGGCAGCAUAACGAGAGGGUGUCUAU